This 839-nucleotide ribosomal RNA is filed under the name Halomonas sp. YCWA49. Its description in RNAcentral is "bacterial SSU rRNA". It matches the Rfam family "Bacterial small subunit ribosomal RNA", at positions 372 to 1204 of the family's 1533-position model. The record is from RNAcentral. Lineage: Bacteria; Pseudomonadati; Pseudomonadota; Gammaproteobacteria; Oceanospirillales; Halomonadaceae.
UGGGCGCAGCCUGAUCCAGCCAUGCCGCGUGUGUGAAGAAGGCUUUCGGGUUGUAAAGCACUUUCAGUGGGGAAGAAGGCCUGUCGGUUAAUACCCGGCAGGGACGACAUCACCCACAGAAGAAGCACCGGCUAACUCCGUGCCAGCAGCCGCGGUAAUACGGAGGGUGCGAGCGUUAAUCGGAAUUACUGGGCGUAAAGCGCGCGUAGGCGGCGUGAUAAGCCGGUUGUGAAAGCCCCGGGCUCAACCUGGGAACGGCAUCCGGAACUGUCGCGCUAGAGUGCAGGAGAGGAAGGUAGAAUUCCCGGUGUAGCGGUGAAAUGCGUAGAGAUCGGGAGGAAUACCAGUGGCGAAGGCGGCCUUCUGGACUGACACUGACGCUGAGGUGCGAAAGCGUGGGUAGCAAACAGGAUUAGAUACCCUGGUAGUCCACGCCGUAAACGAUGUCGACUAGCCGUUGGGCGCCUCGAGUGCUUAGUGGCGAAGUUAACGCGAUAAGUCGACCGCCUGGGGAGUACGGCCGCAAGGUUAAAACUCAAAUGAAUUGACGGGGGCCCGCACAAGCGGUGGAGCAUGUGGUUUAAUUCGAUGCAACGCGAAGAACCUUACCUACCCUUGACAUCCUCGGAAUCCGCCAGAGAUGGUGGAGUGCCUUCGGGAGCCGAGUGACAGGUGCUGCAUGGCUGUCGUCAGCUCGUGUUGUGAAAUGUUGGGUUAAGUCCCGUAACGAGCGCAACCCUUGUCCCUAUUUGCCAGCGAUUCGGUCGGGAACUCUAGGGAGACUGCCGGUGACAAACCGGAGGAAGGUGGGGGACGACGUCAAGUCAUCAUGGCCCUUA